GCUAGGCAUGGUGGUGAAUACCUGUAAUCCCAGCGGCUCAGGAGGCUGAAACAGGAGGAUCAUGAGUUCAAAGCCAGCCUCAGCAACUUAGCGAGACCCUGUCUCUA
RNAcentral lists this small RNA (107 nucleotides) under Marmota monax (woodchuck). The record is from RNAcentral. Lineage: Eukaryota; Metazoa; Chordata; Mammalia; Rodentia; Sciuridae.